Molecule: long non-coding RNA, 645 nt
Filed under: Brachypodium distachyon (stiff brome)
Lineage: Eukaryota; Viridiplantae; Streptophyta; Magnoliopsida; Poales; Poaceae
Description: long non-coding RNA (BDIS_LNC001827)
Source: RNAcentral
CUAGCAAAAAGCCCCGUGCGUUGCUACGGAAGAAAAGAAAUUGAAAAACAUGCUAACUUAAAUUUUCAAAAGUGGUGCCUUUUGCACAUAACUACAUAUUGAGAGCAACUACCGAAAUUUAUGAUCGAAAAAACGCUAAUUCAGUCUACCGAAAACGCCUUUUCCGAUAUAAUCUCAUAUUUUAUAAAUUUUAACCCACAUGAAAAUUAUGUUAGCCCCGACGAGAUGCUGCUCUCCCUUCGUUUCAUCACGCAUCUCUGCGAUGCCAUGCCACAUAUAUUGGGCCUGUUUCAACCAUGAUCUUUAAGGAAAAUUAAGGAUCCAGUACAUCAUCGAUUAGUCAUAUGAUCAAGUCCAAUCGGGUCAAAAAAUAGACCCAGGAAAAUGGUAAAACUAAAAUCAUAUACGGAGGGAAAUUAAAUCAAUGGAAUUUUCAUAGCAGAUCCAUGUCCUAAUUAAAUUUAGAAAGUAUGGUCUGCAUGUACCAUCAAUUAGGCCAAGAUUUCAGCAAAAAUAAAGAAAAAAUAGAGAAAAACGUCGGUAGUAGGAGCGCUAGAAUGCCCGCUCGGGAGCAGCAGCUGCUGCUGCGUCGCAGGAGGAAGGCACCCGCGCUACCGCCAUGCCCAUCUCCGCCACCGCGCAUUG